Molecule: ribosomal RNA, 1299 nt
Filed under: Rathayibacter sp.
Lineage: Bacteria; Bacillati; Actinomycetota; Actinomycetes; Micrococcales; Microbacteriaceae
Description: bacterial SSU rRNA
Source: RNAcentral
UGCAAGUCGAACGAUGAAGCCURGCUUGCUGGGUGGAUUAGUGGCGAACGGGUGAGUAACACGUGAGUAACCUGCCCUUGACUCUGGGAUAAGCGCUGGAAACGGCGUCUAAUACCGGAUACGACCUGCCCCGGCAUCGGGUGUGGGUGGAAAGUUUUUCGGUCAAGGAUGGACUCGCGGCCUAUCAGCUUGUUGGUGAGGUAAUGGCUCACCAAGGCGACGACGGGUAGCCGGCCUGAGAGGGUGACCGGCCACACUGGGACUGAGACACGGCCCAGACUCCUACGGGAGGCAGCAGUGGGGAAUAUUGCACAAUGGGCGCAAGCCUGAUGCAGCAACGCCGCGUGGGGGAUGACGGCCUUCGGGUUGUAAACCUCUUUUAGUAGGGAAGAAGGGCUUCGGCUUGACGGUACCUGCAGAAAAAGCACCGGCUAACUACGUGCCAGCAGCCGCGGUAAUACGUAGGGUGCAAGCGUUGUCCGGAAUUAUUGGGCGUAAAGAGCUCGUAGGCGGUUUGUCGCGUCUGCUGUGAAAACCCGAGGCUCAACCUCGGGCCUGCAGUGGGUACGGGCAGACUAGAGUGCGGUAGGGGAGAAUGGAAUUCCUGGUGUAGCGGUGGAAUGCGCAGAUAUCAGGAGGAACACCGAUGGCGAAGGCAGUUCUCUGGGCCGUUACUGACGCUGAGGAGCGAAAGCGUGGGGAGCGAACAGGAUUAGAUACCCUGGUAGUCCACGCCGUAAACGUUGGGAACUAGAUGUGGGGACCUUUCCACGGUCUCCGUGUCGCAGCUAACGCAUUAAGUUCCCCGCCUGGGGAGUACGGCCGCAAGGCUAAAACUCAAAGGAAUUGACGGGGGCCCGCACAAGCGGCGGAGCAUGCGGAUUAAUUCGAUGCAACGCGAAGAACCUUACCAAGGCUUGACAUAUACCGGAAACUUCCAGAGAUGGUUGCCCCGCAAGGUCGGUAUACAGGUGGUGCAUGGUUGUCGUCAGCUCGUGUCGUGAGAUGUUGGGUUAAGUCCCGCAACGAGCGCAACCCUCGUUCUAUGUUGCCAGCACGUUAUGGUGGGAACUCAUAGGAGACUGCCGGGGUCAACUCGGAGGAAGGUGGKGAUGACGUCAAAUCAUCAUGCCCCUUAUGUCUUGGGCUUCACGCAUGCUACAAUGGCCGGUACAAAGGGCUGCGAUACCGUAAGGUGGAGCGAAUCCCAAAAAGCCGGUCUCAGUUCGGAUUGAGGUCUGCAACUCGACCUCAUGAAGUCGGAGUCGCUAGUAAUCGCAGAUCAGCAACGCUGCGGUG